This 399-nucleotide long non-coding RNA is filed under the name Anas platyrhynchos platyrhynchos (common mallard). RNAcentral describes it as "lncRNA (ENSAPLG00000018845.1)". The record is from RNAcentral. Lineage: Eukaryota; Metazoa; Chordata; Aves; Anseriformes; Anatidae.
UUCUACACUAAGCAUCAACCAAGAACAGUUUGGCUUCCUGUCUAAUUACUUACAGGAAAGUCAUUUAAUGUGCUCUCUCAUCGACUAAACCUGUUUACCUCUUUUAGGUCUCCUGCUGUCAGUGAUGACCAGAAGUUUCUUCUGCUCCUGAGAGACAGAUACUGGCCAGGAGUGAAAUUGGAAGAGCUAGAAAUACCAUCAGGAAAUAUGAAAAAAAUGGAUUGUCAAGACUCGCCCUCUACUUGCAUGAAUCUCACCAGUAACUUGAAUGGACAAAUAGCUAAAUACACUAAAUGUGUAUCAGCCCUGUUGGACAUUUUGUGUCAGGUUCUGGACACAAAUUCUGGAAGCAGCCCUGCCUUCAAGCCGGGCUCUGAUCCCUCAGCUCGGCCACUCGGA